Frieseomelitta varia is the source of this 410-nucleotide long non-coding RNA. RefSeq lists it as uncharacterized. The transcript has 2 exons. Lineage: Eukaryota; Metazoa; Arthropoda; Insecta; Hymenoptera; Apidae. The record is from RefSeq and is a predicted model, not a curated record.
UCAAAGAUAAAACUUAUUUUGUACAGAAAAAUGUUUAUUCUAUCGAGUUGUUUUCCGCAAAUUUAUACAUCUAUUUCUUAACAUGUUUAUUUUUCAUAUUGCAUUGUACAAAAUAUCAAAUUAUAUAAAGUCAUUUCUCAGUGAGACUAGAAUGACAAGAAUUAUUUAUUCUGAGUUGAGUUAUUUGUUUCAAAUUGAGUCAUUUGUUCAAAACUAUGUAGUGUUUUUACAAGAGUAAUAAAAUGUGCAACUGUAUAACCAAGAAGAGCACCUAAAACACAUGGAAUUGGCCAAGCUUGCCAUGGUCGAUCCCAGUCUAAUGGAAUCACAAUAGCACCUAACCAUGUACCUAAGAGAGUAGCUUGAAUAUUUGUCUUCAAAGCAUCAAUUAAAACAUUGCCUUUCUGUAA